UACGUAGGGGGCGAGCGUUAUCCGGAUUUACUGGGUGUAAAGGGAGCGCAGACGGAUAGGCAAGUCAGAUGUGGAAGCCCCGGGCAUAACCCGGGGAGUGCAUUUGAAACUGCAGAUCUGGAGUACUGGAGAGGUAAGCGGAAUUCCUGGUGUAGCGGUGAAAUGCGUAGAUAUCAGGAAGAACACCGGUGGCGAAGGCGGCUUACUGGACAGCAACUGACGUUGAGGCUCGAAAGCGUGGGGAGCAAAC
Molecule: ribosomal RNA, 250 nt
Filed under: uncultured prokaryote
Description: partial 16S ribosomal RNA
Rfam family: Bacterial small subunit ribosomal RNA
Source: RNAcentral